GCCCUAUUGGUGUAAUGGAUAGCAUACAAGUUUCCUAAACUUUUGAUUAAGGUUCGACUCCUUAAUGGGGCA
RNAcentral lists this transfer RNA (72 nucleotides) under Lactobacillus phage 521B. It matches the Rfam family "tRNA". From Rfam's summary of the family: Transfer RNA (tRNA) molecules are approximately 80 nucleotides in length. Their secondary structure includes four short double-helical elements and three loops (D, anti-codon, and T loops). Lineage: Duplodnaviria; Heunggongvirae; Uroviricota; Caudoviricetes; Herelleviridae. The record is from Rfam by way of RNAcentral.